AAAUGGAACUCAAAGUAAUGAGUAAAGUAUUCCUGAUAACUAUGUUUUUUUGUUGAAGAAUAACAGUGAGAUGCUUGAGGUCACUAAUGAAUUUUUUAAUGACAUAAUUCCAAGUGUGCACGCUUCGUUGCAAUCUGAGAGAAAUCAGACUGUCAAGAAUCAGGGCUUCCUGAGUUACCAUAAUUUGAUGUUUGCGCCCUUUUGGUCAUUGGGUGAAUUGAGCCCCUUAACCUUCCAUGCUGUCUACUGCUGUUCCAAGCAGUAAUACCAUAGUACCUCUUUUAUUUAGGAGUUAGGCAGAAUUUGUUUUCAUAACCCUGGGUUAAUUUUUAUAUCAUUCAGUGCUGCCAGGAGAGAACACUAGAGGUUUCUUCGCCAUGUUGAAUAGUUCUGUUCCUCUUAAUUCAGAAAAUUUUGAAAGUGAAUCUGGUGACAAUAUUUCUCUUCCAUAACGAAAAGUCAUUCAUUGGAGCUUUUUGGCUUGAAAGAUUUUACACUGUCUUCACUUUUUCAUUGUCAUCCAGUCACAGUUCCAUUGUUUGGAAACCAAGAUAGUUGCUCUGAAACAUUUACACCUUCCACCGUUAUCUUCAUCCUUCAUUUCUUUAUGUGUCUGGCUUUUCUCUUUGGCCCAAACUGGAUCGACUGUUUUUAAUGAUACAGGGACUGACUAUGGGGUGUGUUCUAUUGACAAUGCUUCUUUGUGACACGUUGUCCAGUGUUUGUUUGGAAAGCCGAGUACACGUUUUGUUUCUAUCUUACUUGCAAAUCAGGGAAAGGAAAAAUCUACAAAGAACAUGAAAAGUGCUAUUUUAGUAAACACUUCAGAAGUUUCCGAAGUAAAUUCCCUCUAUUUCCUGCAGGAUUUCCACUGUACACUUUAGCUUUAAAGAAAAACAAAUCUUUUAUGUCUUAGAAUAUUCGAUUUAUAUGUUAUCUACUGAGUGAUCUUCUUCUUGGGACGAAGUCACUAGAGAGAAUGUUUUUCUCAGGUUCACUUCUCCCUUAAUGAAGUUCAUACCAGGGAAUUGAAAUCAAAGUCUGAAGAACAGCCUCUGCAGAAAAAAUGCUCAGCUUAAGAUCCAAAAGAAUCAGAAAGCUGGGACUGAAAGAAUGGGAGCAGGUGGAAGGGGAGAAGCAGCUCCCCUUCUCCUCUCAGCCGCAGAGGAGAAACUGAAAUUAGCUACAGAAGAGCUAUGGAUCUACGAGUGAAUUCAGCUCCUACCAGCAGCUUACACGAUGUCCAUUGUAUUACUUUGAAACUUUGUACAGUGUUUAGACCCAAGUAGCACACAAAUCUAUACAAAUAUUCAGGAGACAUUUAUUUAUAUAGACACUUCAGGAGAAAUGUGACAUUUUCCAGAUGUUAAGUUAAAAAUAUUAAUCUAAACAAGUUAAGUCACUAAAGAUUUCCUGAUCCCUGAUGCUGGCCAGACUAUGUGGAAAUGUGGUUCCUGAACAUGUUUCUGGAGGUGCUGGAUAUGAUUACAAACCUCAGGAAGCAGUUUGGUGGUGGACUAAUCAAUUGACAAGUAUGACCAUCCCAUUUAAGAGACCCACUUGUUGUAACCAUGAGAAAUAAUGAUGAAGAUACAAGGAAAAGAAGAUUUGGACUUUACGAUGAAAGAUCCUCAUUGCAGAAUUAGGGAGCUGUCACCACAGAUCGUGUGUAUGAGAACUCAGUUCUUAUAAUGGGAACCUGGGCCAAUUAACAUCACCCUCAACAUGGUGCUUCAUCUGAUGAAAGCCAUUUCACGCCCAGGAGAAGAGUAAAAGAAACAAAAGAACAGCUGCAGCAGUCAGAGCUCACCUUCGGACACCAGGUAGCCUGCACUCUGCCCAGUAGUUCCUAAGUGCUUCAGCACGUAACGCAGAUGAUCAUAACGGGACACUGAAUCUCUCCACAUGGGUUUUUAUUGAUGUGCUGACUCUUUCAGAUGGCUCUUGGUGAGAAGGUGACUCAGGACAACUGGCUCGGGGCUCGUGAUCUGGAGAGGGCGGUGGCUGAGCAGAGCAGGGAGGUGGCCUACUUGAAGUGCAGAGCCUUUAGCCGAUCCAGAAGCUGGUGUCACUCCCAUGAGUCACAAAAACAAGCACUCUACCAAAAAUGCCAAGAAGGACCAGGAAAAUGCUGGGGCCAUUUUCAGUUGGCAGUGUGGAUCCAUGGGGACCUCCUCUGUUAACUGGAAGAUUCUGCACACCCUGCCUACCCUAGAGGCCACCCUACGGGCUCCUGGGCACAUCCACCUCCUGAACCUUGGUGGCCCUGGGGACUACCCUAAACCCCUCCACCUACACCACUUGGCUCUUUUGCAGGUCCAGAUUUUGCUCCCGUGAUUGACAACAAAACUGACUCUACCACAAGGACCAAGAAGGACAAGGCCAUUAUGUAUGCAAGAGGGCCUGGUCCUUUCCUAGGUUUGCCUUGCAAGCUGUACCCCAUGGAUCACCCUUCAUCACCAGUCAUGGGCUAUGGGCUACCUCCAGCUCCUCCAAGUACUCAAUUUGGAGAAUUUGAAGUUUGAAGAGGACCCUGAACUGCGACAAAUGGGCUGUGGUCAUGAGAAGGCUGUCCCAGGCCCUGUCACUAAGACCUUUCCCAGUCUGGAGAACAGGCCAACUGGACCAGCUGCACCCUCUACCACCAGCGGAGCUGCCAUGGCCUUGAGCAUUGCAGGAAUUCCGGCAGCCGGCAGAGGGUGCAUGCGCGCGUGUGCGCAACUCGCCCAGGGAGGGCCUGGUCUUCUGCGUGCUCAGUGAUGGCGAGUGAUGGCGGGAGAAGGCAUUUGUUAGGUUUUUCUGAUCCAGUGUGCCUCAGAGCUGGAAAGGCUUCCUUGCUUCUGAGGUCCCAGUGCCUCUGAGUGUGGGCAAAGAGCCAGAGCUGCGUUUCCAGCAGGUUCCACCCCAGGCAGGGGGACACCCUGGAGGCUUCCAGCCACUUGGCAUCUCCUCAGUGGUGGGGCUGAGUAGUGAGGCAGGGGGCUGGGUGGCUUCCCCAGAAACGCGGGAUGGUCAGUGAGCGGCACAGUCCCAUGCAUUUUCUGGGGUGUUCUGUGGUUUGUUCCUCAUUUCCCCUGCCGCUUUGUGAACAAGAUGUAUUUCACUCAAGGAUCCGUGGAUUCAGGGGGUCCUGGGACACCACGUCCGAGAGGCUGGGGUUGGUUUGUUCCAGGUUCAGGCUUGUUUGGGGGGAGAAAUCCUGACACAAAUUCUUAGGAACAGGAGCCGCAUUCAGUUGGAAAGUGAAGAAGCCAAAUGUUGACUCUCAGGACCUUCUAGAAGAAUGAACUGGGAACCACUCUCCGGGUCCUGCCGGAACCAGAGCCCGAGCUGAAUCACCGGAUCCCUCUGUGACUGCUGCUGGUCAAAGGACAUACCAAGGCCACUUCUCAGUGUGGAUUCAUAGACCUGCCUGGGUUUUACAUUCACCACGCAUACUUUCAAGGCUCCUGUCACUGUAAGAAAGAAGACAGACCUUCUGAUGCACAUGCAAGUUUCUGUAACUUCAAGAUUCGUUGUGUCAACGUGGCUGCCAGAGCAUUUCUUCCUUUCCCAGAAGUGCCCUGCAUGUUGUACCCUGUGGGCUGCCCUUUAUCACCAUCCAUGGGCUUUGGGCCACCCCCACCUUCUCCAAGCUGGUGACCUUUGGGACCUCACCCUCCACCUCCACCAUCUGGAAAGAUGAUCUGAACAGUAGGAGUUAACUUAGAAAACACAUUUUGUCUUUCUUCUUGUUGAGUCUUGGGAGAAGAUGCAGUGAUGGUACCACAUGGCUUUCAGUCUAUGCAAGUCAGAAUCACCUCCAUCCACCUCCAGCCUUUAUGAGACCCAGGACGUGGUACAACUCCCAUGGGGAACAUCAGUUCUGUCUCUACCAAGGAUGCAGAGAAAGACAAACCUCCAGGCUUCUCCAGUUUAAGAUCAUCAUGGUAGCUGGCACCUCUGGAAGCCACAAGUGCGUCGAAGCUGAGGACCACGUGGCUCUCACUUUGUGUUUGUGGAAAUAACUUGAGGAGGAUGACACAUCACUGUACCCUCAAGUCUUCUGGAGCGGCUGACUCCUUCCACACCUUCUUUACAUGGGGUGGAACUACUCUGAAUUAUGAGAAGCGGCACGUGUACUCGAAAAUGUACAUGGAACUGCAGUCGUGAAGCUGUACCUGUGACACAGGACACAAGAGAAUGUGCUCAUGUGAACACAAGUGAAGGACAAGGUGGGGACUUGCCACACAGUUUACAGUAUUUAUACCCACGGCACACUUGAAGGAAUUUUGGACAGCACAUUUACCAAAAAAAAAGAUGGAAUGCUGACGGGUAUGAAAUUUACUUUGUCUAAGACCAUUCUAAAUGACGCAUACAAAAAUAUAAGUUGGAGUGAAGGCAAUUCUCAUUUUCAAACUGUAAGGAUACCCACAGAUUUUUCUGAACAUGUGAAAACCCUUGAUAGAAAGAAACAGGAGAGGAAGAAACAGCAAAAGUAAUGAUUUCACAUUGAGAAGAUCUGGAAAGAAUGAGGCAAGGUAGGAGACUUCCAAGUGGAGUGUGGUGUCAUCCUCCUUGAUUUAUUCCGGGAACACGUUGGAAAAGCCCUAUGGUCCUCACCCUUAAGCACGCUUAGCUUCUAAAGGUACCACAAAGAGAUGCCAGGUGGAAAACAGGGAAGCCUGUAGACUCAUGGGUAAAGGUUAUGCAUUUGGGGGGAAAAAAAGACAGCACCCAUACCAUACGGCACUCAAACCAGAGACAGUGGCAGGAGAGUGUGCUGCACAGAAAGAUGCGGCUCUCUGGAAAGACAUAGAACUGAAAAUGCCACAGCAUUUACCUUAUGCUUCUUGGCAGUUUUGGUAGAGCCAGUGUUGAUGUCACUCUUGGAAGUGACACCUGCUUCUGGAUCUGCUAAAGGCCCUAGAAAGGAUGGAGGUUUAUUUUGAUUUGAGUAGACUGUUUAGAGAUCAAAAACAAAAACAAAAACAAAACCCACCCUUCAUUCUUCUGACAACUUAAACUCUUUGCUCCAGUCAGAUCCCAAAUCAGAUGCAGAGGGUGUCCCACAUGCCUCAGGUGAUCCCCAAGAAGAACUUGAAGAACCAUCCCUUAUAACCUAAUGAAGACUCCUAAAAGCCCUGAUUCAGAUGUAUUCCUCACUCAUCGAACAACUAUAGAUGGCUGGGGGCACAACUAGAUGGACACACGUUACGUUGUGCCUCAUGCCUCACAGAUCCCAGCACAUGGACUGUGUAUAGGGCAUCACUGCUGAACUGCUCUGUCUGCUUUUCUGCACACGGUCCCAUUCCUUCCCCACAAGAGAGGCCUGUACCAACACCUGGUGGGGGAAAUGACAAAGAUGAUAUGUUGAGCAUGAGAAACUUGAGGAAUGUGGCAAUGGAAGCAGACACAUUCCCCUUGUAUCACAAUGGUCUGUGGCACUGCCCCUGCACCUCGGCCAAAGGCCUAACACCAACAAAAAUAAGAUGAGUGUGUUUUACAAGUCAACUUCUAGUGCUCAGAUCAUCUUACCAAGUGUUGCAGGUGGAGGGGUUUGGGGUGGCCCCAGGGCCACCAAGGUUCAGGAGGUGGAUGUGCCUAAUAGUCUAUGGGGGCGGGGCGCCUCUAGGGUAGGGCAUGCAAAAUCGUCCAGUUAACAGAGGAGGUCCCCAGGAUCCAGACUGCCCUGCAGAACAGAAGUGACAGCUACAUUCAUAUGCCAGACAAGAGAACAAAUAUCAAAACCAGAGAAGAAUGUGUUCGCACCUGCCACCUUCUCUGCCACCAGGAUCCAAGAGAGCAGCAUCAGUACCUGAAAGCUCCAUCCCUGCCACUGGAAACCACCUACAGCUUGGGGUAGUAGAUGCAAGAGGUUAACCUACUGCCACCACUCAUCACUGCCCAUGUCUGCGGAAGUAGAAUGGCAAGGGUCCUGUCCUAGAGGGUUAACAGAAGUAAUUACAGACUAAUGAAGUAGCAUUCUCUGGACAGGCAGCCAUCGAUGUCCAGGUUCACCCUGCAUCCCUCCUCUACGGCUACUCCAGAUGCUCUGUUUUUGGUAUGUUAAGAACACAAAAAAAUGAGUGGGAAUAAAUGGCUCAUAUUCUGCUCAUGGAAUCAUAGCCACUCCUGGCGAAAAGUUCUGCAGCUGGACCCUCACUUUGCCUCCUCUGCUUCUCUCGCUGAGAAAGGAGUCUUCCUUGCUGAAGUGUUGUCAAAGGCCUCUGAGACCUCUGGGGAGUGGAGGAUGCCUGGAAUCUUGCAGGGGAAUGAGAAUCUUCUGUGACAAAUAAGUUACUUAUGAAUGUCUACAAAGCUCAGAUGUGUUCAUCUUAAUUCAUAGGGAAUUCUGAUUUUAAGCAUACUACAGGACACAGAGUAAUUAUGCCCAACAGAAAAAAGGGGUAGAAAUUCACAUAACAGAUUUAAAGCAAGUGUUUUGGUAUAAAACUCCUGGUAUGUGUCAUGAGACUGUAUGAGCUCUAACAGUGACUGGGGACACAACCAGAAACUGCUCAUAUAAACAUAAUUGAAGGACACAGUGUUCAAACUCUUUUUACCUAAGGUAUAGCUGGAAGGAUUCCAGACAACUCAUUUACCAACAAAUAUGGGAAGGUGAUACGUGAUGACACUGACUUUAUCUAAGACCACUCUAAAUGGUACAGGGCACAAAAUAUUAAGUUGGAGUCAUGAUGUCGUUUUGCACUUUUGAAUUUUAAACAAUAUGACAGACUUUCUAACAGGUUCAUCUCCUAGCCAGAAUCAAGAAAGGAAGACACAGCAGCCACACUGUUCCCACAGAGGUGAGGUCUGGAAGGGGUCACCCAGCCCAGGAGGCUUCUGUUUGGAGUGUGGGGUCAUCCUCCUCUCAUUAUUUCCUGAACCACACGGAAAAACCUUAAGACCACAGAUGAUCACCCACAGGAAUAGGCUGCACAGCAGAAAUUGGACUGUGGCACAUCACAACAUGCUCCUUACCUCUCCUUGGAGGAUUCUGCAUCUCUGGUCUUGCAGCCAUUGGUUUCUGACUUGUGUAUCCCUCAGGCACCCUCUUUGCUUCCAUCCUGUCCAGUCUUGGAUACAGAAAAAUAAUGGACUUAUAUAAGAGUUGCAACACCACGUCGUCUUCUAGACAACAAACAGUGCACGCAUCAUCCCUGGAAACACCCAUAAAAACGCAAGUCAAAUGACCACACCUGUAUUUCAAAAUGCAAUCCAGGCAAAGAAGGGAUUCUCACCUUCAAUUUAAGAGCUUCAUCAGAGAGAAAAUUACUUUCUCUCUUAGUUUCCUGAAGACAUUUCCUUAAUUCAUUGUUGUAUAAAACACGAAAAAGGAAUCAGAAUUAAAAAAAAAAAAGCAUAGUGCUAGAUAAACCUACCUUCUAAUGUGUGACUCCUUUCACAAAUAAAGAGGUAGCUCUUUA
This is a long non-coding RNA of Felis catus (domestic cat), 7409 nucleotides long. RefSeq lists it as uncharacterized. The record is from RefSeq and is a predicted model, not a curated record. The transcript is spliced from 20 exons. Lineage: Eukaryota; Metazoa; Chordata; Mammalia; Carnivora; Felidae.